RNAcentral lists this ribosomal RNA (465 nucleotides) under uncultured bacterium. RNAcentral's name for it is "partial 16S ribosomal RNA". It matches the Rfam family "Bacterial small subunit ribosomal RNA", at positions 338 to 795 of the family's 1533-position model. The record is from RNAcentral.
CCUACGGGAGGCAGCAGUAGGGAAUCUUCCACAAUGGGCGAAAGCCUGAUGGAGCAACGCCGCGUGGGUGAAGAAGGUCUUCGGAUCGUAAAACCCUGUUGUUAGAGAAGAAAGUGCGUGAGAGUAACUGUUCACGUUUCGACGGUAUCUAACCAGAAAGCCACGGCUAACUACGUGCCAGCAGCCGCGGUAAUACGUAGGUGGCAAGCGUUAUCCGGAUUUAUUGGGCGUAAAGGGAACGCAGGCGGUCUUUUAAGUCUGAUGUGAAAGCCUUCGGCUUAACCGGAGUAGUGCAUUGGAAACUGGGAGACGUGAGUGCAGAAGAGGAGAGUGGAACUCCAUGGGUAGCGGUGAAAUGCGUAGAUAUAUGGAAGAACACCAGUGGUGAAAGCGGCUCUCUGGUCUGUAACUGACGCUGAGGUUCGAAAGCGUGGGUAGUAAACAGGAUUAGAUACCCGGGUAGUC